UUAUUGUUUCUCUUUUUAUUCUUCCAUCUAAUUAGGGUUUCUUCUUCAUAUCCAUUCUAACACCACACCACCAAUAACAUGAGGGCUAAGGUAACAACAACAUCUUCAACUCUCUCUAUCCCUUAAAAUUGUUGUUGAAAUUGAUAUAUUGUGUGAUUUCUCUAUCUUUUAAAAUUGUUGUUAAAAUUGAUAUAUUGUGUGAUUUGUUUGUUUGUUAUUUGAUUUAUACAACAGUGGAAGAAGAAGCGAAUGAGGAGAUUGAAGAGGAAGCGUCGAAAGAUGAGACAGAGAUCCAAGUAGAUUGAUCGAAAUCAAAGUUUUAUGUUUUUGUUUUUGUUUUAGAUCGGCUUAGGUAUCGGUAGAUAUAUGUAUCGGUAUCGGAGUUUUCUUUUUAGCUCGGAAACGAUUUCACCUUCGGUUGAUGAGUCGGAAUAGCUACCAAAAUAGUGGUUUUAUGUUUAUCGUAAUUUGUAUCGGAUUUUAUGGUUUUUUCGUAAUAUCGGAAGAAUCGGAUUAGUAGCUUAUGGUUAUUUGGCUUAAUGUUUGAUUUGAUUAAUUAGUUUGAUUUAGUUUUUAACUUUUUAUUAAAUAGAGAAGAUAGCAUGGCCUGAGAUUAAGAUUAGUUUCAUAAUUCCUUUAUUCAUGAUUUGCCCCUUGUAUGCGGUUUUUAUUUAAGCAAUUUUUAUCACUAGAAUUAGUCAUGCUUUCACACUAAAAACCUUCACAUGAUAGUUGCCUAUAGUUUUUAUCUGCUUGUAAAGUUGUAUGCCAUGGUCUAUUAUGGAUUGAAUGGUCUAAAAGUUUGAAGCAUGUUUCAAACUUCUGAUGUACUUAGUCCGAUAUGGUCAUGGGAAUAUAGGAAUGUUAUGGUAGUUCUUGUUGUUUCCGGCUUGCUUGUUAAAUGUUGGUUUAUUGCAUUUUGUUGUUGUUGUAGAAGACACAAUAUUGUAGUGCCUGUUUAGGCUGUAUCAUAAUGCAGGCAUACAUUAUCUGAGCCUUUCUGCAAGCCUUACUCUUUGCCAUCAUAGAGUUUGUAUUUUAUGUUUCCUGUUAGGUUUGAGGCACAUUCGCUGAUAACACCUUGAGUUGGCAUACUGCCCUACCAUGUCAAGGUUUGGAAAUAAAGAAAACCUUUAAGCAUGUUUUUGUUUCUAAAUGUUGCAUUGUACCGUUUUUGUAUAGAGGAGUAAGGAGGUGCAGUUUUUACUUCACCGAUGUGCCUAUUCUUACUCCGGGAGUACUGUUAAUUUCUAUUACUUGUGAUGCUGGCAAACAUGCCUUGUUAGUUGUUACAAUGGAUUGGAUCCAUCUGUGAUUAAAUGUGAUUUGUUAAGCUAUGGAUGGGCAGAAUUGGUUGUCAUUUGGUUUGCUAAAAUGCUAAGUACUGUACUUUAAACAGUUCCUAAGAGCAAUCCCAAUGGGAGGGCAGUUUGGUGCCCUCCACGUAGGUGUAGGUUUGGGGAUGACUCUAGUUAUUAGGUGGUAAACAUUUGUAUUUUUGCAACCCAACCAACCCAACAAAGCAGGGCCUAUAGCAACUUAGAGCAUUCCCAAUGGAGGGUGGAUAAAUCCACCUCUACGUAGGUGCCACGUAGGUCCACCUAGGCAAAAUCCACCUCAAAGAGAGAGGUGUAUUUGCACUUGGGUGGUAGUUUCCCAACGCAGAGUGGACUCUUUGGUAUAGAAAGUGGAUUUUUUUAAAAAUCCGGACGGCAUGUCACAUGUCGUCCCAUUUUUUUUUGCAAAAAAAUAGGGAGACGGCAUGUCACAUGCCGUCCGAGAGUCCAAAAUUUUAAAACACUACUUAAAACUUAAAAAAACAAACGGAUGCCGUCCGAGAGUCCAAAAAUUUUAAAACACUACUUAAAACUUAAAAAAACAAACGGACGGCAUGUAAGGAUUUAUCCACCUUCAAAUCCACCUUCAAAUCCACCUUCAAAUCCACCUUCAAAUCCACCUGUGGGCAGCCCACCUCCGAAAUCCACCUCCCCUUGGGAAGCUCUUUUUGUCUACAAGGUGGAUUUAUCCACCCCACCUCCAAAAUCCACCUUGCAUUGGGAAUGCUCUUAUGUGUUUCAUUUUGAUGAAUAGGUCUAAUAACAGUUGGGUUUUUAUACUUUUUAUGUUUCUCUAGCCAGUCUUAUUCGCAGUCUUAAGUGGCCAUUGUCUUGUGUGCCAGAGUAGCACACUGCGUGAAUAACCUUGAGAUGAUAGUGGGAGCAUAUGCACUGGGGUACAACAGUAAAUCUUUUUAUUUGAAUGCACAAUGUAGCUUAGGACACAAUCAACUCACUUUAUGUCUCUAUCCAUAGUCGUGCAAUUGUGUAUACGGAAUAAUUCUAUGCUUACAAACUUUUUUCACAAACUACCUCCACAAACUGAUGGGGAUUCAACCGAUAAAUAAAUCAGAAUUUUCUUAUGUACUCUUUUUUAGUUCUUUCCAUGAAACCGAAACUCUUUUGCAAGCAUCUCUCUUCUCUCUUUUUUUUUUUUUUUUUUUUUGUUAUUUUUUUAAUUAUAAUUAAUAAACUCAACGAAUUACACAAAAGUAGAGGACAAACGCGCUACAAACUGCGCGGAAAGUCCAUUCUGGAUAGCAAACUCGAUUCUCCUAAAUACAUAUUCGUUCAAACCUGCAGUCAUCACGUUACUUUUUUUUUGUGUGGAGUUAUUUUAUUUCUCACUAGUCCAGAAUUUGAAAAUAAAUAUCUUAUUAAUCCCAUAAUCAAUUUUAUACGAUAUUAUUAAAUCUUUCAUUGGUAUAAUAAAGGAAGAAGAUGAUUUUAUCUCGAAAACUUGUGAUAAAAGGAAAGAACAAUGGGUGCUUAGGGGUAAUUUACCUCUUUAAUUAUUUCAUUAACUCUACCCUAACUGGUGCUUAGGGGUAAUUUAUAAAUCUCACUAAUAAAUUUUUUUUAUUCUUCACACAAUUAGGAAAAUCCUUUUGAUUUUGAUUCAUUCCUAAAACAAUAUUCAUAUUAACAACCAAUUUUUUUUUUCAAUUUCCUCUAGUUUUACUACUAUUUAUAUCUAAAAUUUUAAAAAUAUUGACAAUGAUUAUUCAAUUAUUCAUUAAAAUAAAAAAUUGACAGAAGAUUGAUCAUGUUUAUUUUGCAAGAGUUCCCAUUCCUGAUGCACAAUGAUUUUCGAGUCUAUACUGUUAUAAUCUUAUGAGUUCCUUAUAUAGUGGGGAAAAAAAAAGAAUGAGACAGAGUAAGAAUCAAAACAUAACUUGUUAGAUAUUUUGUAUAUUCUUUAUUUUCUUAUUUGUAGGUGGAUAUACAAAUUUGUAAAGAUAUUAAUUAAUUAUUGAUAACAACUGUAUUUAUAUAUGUAUGGUUAUUGAGGAUAAUUAAGUAAACUUUGAAAAUAAUCAUUGGCAAGAUCAAUUUUGCUCUUGGCAAAAUCUGGAACCUUAAUAUUAGACAAACUACUAAACAAAAGAUUUUUGAAAAUUUGAAGAAGAGAAUGCAUGUAAUAUAUAUUAGAAUUUACAGUUUUAGUUUGCUAUAAUUUGAGUAAGAGUGAAAGCUUGGGUGAGAGAGAGAGAGGGAAAAAAAGUGUGUUUUUUUUUUUUGUGAUGAGAUCUGACGCAAAAUUUUUAAUUACGUGGACAAACCACCUCAGUUGACACGUUUGUUUGUAGAAGAAGUUCGUGGGGUUUCUUAGUGAGAGCAUUCCCAAUGGUAAAAGGCUUUUAGGGGUGCCACAUAAGAGAGAGGGAGAAGGUUUUUAGGAUAGACUUGAUAUUAAAAGUAAUUUAUGGUUUUAGAGUUGCCAAUGGUUGAGUGUUAAAAGCUUAAAAUUUCACUUUCCCAAAGACAUGAUGGCUGUGCUUGUUUCCCCGGAAGUUAUGGGGAAACGAAAACGGAAAGAUUUUAAAUUUUAAGAAAGGUAACAAAUUUUCAAAACUUUCCAUUUAUAACCAGGAUUGUUGCUUGAUUACCAGAUCAAUAAAAAAGGAAAAAAAAGACGUGGCGAGAUUAUAAGCUUUGGGGACCGGUGGGGACCAUAAAUUAGAGACGUGAUUUUCUGUUUUGCAUAGAUUUCCUGGUUUAUCAAAACUGCAAUUUUUGCUGACGUGUUUUACAUUUUAAAAACCUUUUUACAGUGGGACCCAUAUCAACUGAAAUCACCAAGCACCUGGAAAAACAAAAAAUCAGCAAAUCGCUGACGUGGUUUUCCAUUCCAGUUUUUUUCCUAGAGAACAAGCACGGCCGAUGUAUAAAAUUUAACUUUGAAUUAACUAACUAAUCCUAUGUGGCACUUUUAACUCUCGGCAAAUUUGCCAAGGAGUUAAAAGUAUUUUGUUUGAAAAAUGUGUUAAUAUCAACCAUUGGCAAAAGUUUUUUACUAAAAGUUCUUAAAAGGAAUUUAAAACCUACCGUUGGGAAUGCUCUGAGUGUAGAAUUACUCAAUAUUGAGCGAGUAUGCAAGGAUAACACGUGUUGUUUUUGAAAGUCACAGUGGAUUGUUUGAUGCUUAGAUAUCUCUUUUUCGACACCUUAAAUACUCAAGUUGAUUAUUAGAUAUCUCAUUGUUUUGGAAUUCAUCAGUGGUCCUACCUCAAGACGUUCCUUGUUGUAAUAUUGUACUUGAAAAUGAAGCCACGAAGGGAUAUACGUUGUAUAUCUAUUUUCUAUAGUGACUUUGAGACAAAAUUUCCUAAACUUUUUGAAAACUAUCUUUAAUUUUAAAUGUCAGAUUAGAUGAAUGAAAAUGUGCAUAAUUGACCAACGACAUCUUUUUGGUUAUGAAUCUGAGUUUUAUUCCAUAUCAAAUUAAUGACAGGCCCAUAUACACGUCGAACAGAUUCGCAUACACUAAUUUACAUUGAUAAGGUGUCUUUUUUAUUAAAAAAUUAUUUUCUAUUCCAUCUCUUUGUAAUACAUUGAUCUUAUUGUUUAUUGUUUGGUAAUUUGUUUUUUCAGUAUUUUGAGUAUAGAGGAGUUACCUUAAUCUACUACCUUUGGAGUAGCUCGGCCCCGCUGAGGGGUUGGGCCACGUCUGCACCCUGCUAGUUCAGAUGCAAGCCUUUAUUUCAAAGGUUGUCUUUGCAUUCUUCUUUUUUGAACUGGCAGGAGUGCAGGUGUUGAAACCCGGGUUUGACUGAAUUGGAAAAUUAUCCUUCUGAAUCUUCCUGCUCCAUUUUGUCAAUCCCGGUUGAGUGGAUGUGUCUUUCAUCCACAUGGUUCUUGCAUUUGAAUUGCUUGGCCAAGCUCUUUGACAGAGCCUGAUGAUAACGAAAAAAAUGAAAAGACUUGCCUUGACUUGGAAGUAUUGCCGUGGUUGUAAUUAAGGUAUGUGCCAAAGUUUUCAUAGCCUCUUUUUGCAUUACCUUCUUUUGUUAUCAGUUUUGGUUUUAAUCGCAAGCAUGUUGAUGGAUUUGAUGCUAUUCAUUUUCAGUGACUAGGUACUGCUUAGUCUCUCUGACGCUGCACAUGGACAUUAUACAACUAAUGGAGAUUCGUGCACUUUGAGCUUUGGUGCCUUGGUGGAAUACGUGUUACUACCAGAUCUUUGAGCUUUAAGAUGAAUACUUGAUUGCUAUUGGAAUUUUUGACCUAAAUACAUAUUCCAUGGAAAUUUAUGUGCUGCCUCACCUUUAUAUAUAACUUCCUAGACUCCUAGCAUAAAGAUUUGGAACCUGAAUAGAACAUUGUGUAUUUAUUUGUAUGAUCCCAUCAAUGGCAGCUACUUCAAAAUUGCAGUAUGACUUAGUUCCGUGUUUUUUUUUUCACAAUGUUUUGUUUGCCAAAUUGUUGUCGCAAAUGACAGAACUACUUAAAAGUCGUUGCAAGGUGUCAUUUUGAUUUGAUUAUUUAUUGUUUUUUACAUGGAAAUGGUAGUGGGUUCUUCUGCAGAGUUUGUUGUAGAUGGCUAUAGUAUAAAAUGUGCAGUGGAAGUAUCUGUUGUGCGUAGUGGAAACUUAAACACAACUAAUGAUGAUUGAACUAGUGUAUGAAAUAAAAUAAAACGAUAAAAUCAAACGAACAACCACACAGGACACAAGAUUUACAUGGUUCGGCAAUAUGUCUAUAUCCAUGGGGAGAAAGGAUAAUGUUUUUCUUAUAAAGAUAAGAGCUAAUUAGUGAUACCCCCCGGAAUUCAAGGCAAAAAAAGGAACCCCCCCCCCCCCCCCCCCCCCCCAACUCCAAAAAGAUUUGUGUUACCCCCCCCAAAUUAUUUUCUGGUGAAAAAUAGACUUGAACUGCCAUAAAUACCCUUAUGCCACAUCAGACUUUUAAUUUGACCUAAACCAUUGCUGACGUGGCAUAGAUAAGAUAUUAUGGGCUGGGUUUAGAUAUGGUAUAGAUAAGAUAUUAUGGGCUGGGUUUACGCACAGACCCCUGUGCGUGCAUAUUCACAUAGUACAGAUUAAGUGGACAAGGGCCAAGUGAAGCAAUGGGUUAGCUAAAAGGUGAACAAAAAUGAAGAAAGUAUGCACUAGUCGGGGAUUUCGGGCAACUCUUUUUGUUAUUAGUAUUCCAGGUAUACAGAGAACCUGAAAUUAUGGUAGGUGAGUGUGUCAGUGGUGCAUGACUCUGCUAUGUCAAAAUAGAAACCCAUAGGCACGACUGAUAAGUUCCUAAAAACAAAUACUAAAACAACCCAUAAGUAAUAAUAAGUAAAAAACACACGAUAUUUUUAAAGUAGUAAAAUCCAAUAUGGGAAACGUUCAUGGUUGUUCUCGCGAUAAAAAAUAAUUCUACUAGAUGAAAAAGAUAUACAAACUAGGGAUGAGCACGGUUUGGUCGGUUUUGACCAAAACCGAAGCCAAACAGCCUAACAGGUGUUUUGGAAUAAACACAAUCGAAAUCAAACGUGUUGUUUCCCAAAAUCGAACCGAACCGAUCAAAAUAUGUAAAAACCGAAACCGAACCGAACACGUAGUUCAGUUCGGUUAACCGAAUCAAAACCGAACACCUUUUAAGUUGGGCUGAAUUAACUUGGGCUUAAGUAUAAAGACUAACAUGGGCUGAAUUAACUUGGGCUAAAGUGCUAAACUAAAGACUAAUAUGUUUGGUUCGGUUUUAGGUGUUGAAAAUUUUCUAAAACCGCAACCAAACACCCUAACAGGUGUUUUGUAAAAUUUCAAACACCAGCCAAACACUUAAACACCUAAACACCUUCAAAAGUGUUCAGUUCGGUUGUGUUCGGUUCGGUUCUUCGGUUUUGGUCUGGUUUUGUUUAGCCUUAGUACAAACCUAUCAACUACCUGCAAUCACUGUGAAUUGACACUACUUGUUAUCUCUAACACCUUGACUUCACUAGAGUACCUUGAUGUAAGCACAAGACACUCGACUUCUUGAUGAACACACAAGAAGACUCGAAGCCGAACUAUGAAUAAGUUUACACCAGAGUUCCUUGAUGAACACACAAGGAUACUCGACUUCUUGAUGAACACAGAAGAAGACUCGAAGAUAAAUCACUAUAAAAAAAUAAAGAAAGAUGAAUUGGGGAAGGAUAAAAAAUAGAAUUACACAAGGAUCGAUUGAGGAAGAAGAUGAUCUUUGUGGAAGAGCCGACAAACAAAUUAGGGUUCUAUGGAGGCUAGGUUGGAACUCUUACUUUUCCCAUAACACCAAUGCCAUAUUUAUAAUCUAGGGUAUGUACGUACCUCCUAACAUGGUACGUACAUUCCUGAACAAACUGCAACCUAACAUAGCUUAGAAGGAUGAGAAUGAAGACAUAGGGACGACGCUUACACAUCAAGGUACUUCCUAAUAAUGUCGUCAAGGUGAGAUAAUUCCAGAUACUCCUAACCUAAUCACAAAAUGAUGUCAAACAACCGAAUGUCGGUUUCAUGAACUUGAACUCAGACUUCUACUAGUAUGUCCUAGCCUCCUAGUGAUACCUCAAUGACUGAAUACAUGUAAAAAAUAACUUUGCACUCAAGUUUUGAAGAAAGAAAGUACAUAAAGAUUGAUAUUGUAAGUACCAAACCAUGCUAGGUGGAGUAUUGAGGACACAGGAGCUAGAUAAGGAGAGCAAACUGGGAAGUACCCAAUCGGAGUUCAGAACAUUCUAGAGUAUCACGGAUAAAGCACGUGAUGUCUGGCUGUAAAGCAUUCACUGUAUAGUAUGUGAUGGAGAAUGAAACACGUAGGAGAUAAUAGAACCAUAGGAUGCAAAGGAGGAUCCAACGGUUCAAGGAAGGCGGUGAAUAUUGCUAUAAAAGGAUCACGUUAGGGUUCGCUAAAAGGUAACUGUUCAUUCUUUGCUAAAAACCUAUUCUCUAAACCUAGCCGCUUACUGACUUGAUCGUUGGAGCUUUAUCCACCGGUCAUUGUCCGGUGGUCAUUGCAGGUACUACCGUUGAAGCAGUUGAAGGACCCAGCUGAGCUCAUCAAGGAAAGUGGGCUUACAUUUGGCGCUAGAAGAAGGGCCACUUUGCUGCUUCCAGAUCUAGGGUUUUGGAGAAGAAGGUUGAAAGAAGAAAGUAGAGAGCAAUGGUAACACAAACUAGAUCGUCGACAUAUCUCGGAGGUGUAGCAGCUGGAGAUGUUCCGCAAGUUGUUCAUCCUCAAAAUCUCCAAGAUGGAGACGAAGAUACAAACAGAUUGAGAGAAGAGAACUUGAGACUGAGGGAGCAGAUAAGAAGGAUGGAAGAUAUGGAUCGUCAAAAUCUUCAGGAAGGAGAGAACGAAGCAGUCAGAAAUGAAAACCAUCAGAGACCAUUGGAGAGGGUAAUACUAGGAGAAGGUGAAGGAGGAACAAGGCGUCGGAUUCCGGGCCUAAGAGUGAAUGAAGAAGAAGGGUCAGGAGAAUCAGGGGUAAGAGCUCGCGAAGGGAGUCGAAGGGAAGGGAUGAAUGAUGAAGAGAUCCCGGCGGCAGAUCAAUACACCAGACUUUUCGAUAUGAUAUGCAAGGUCCAAGAGGACAUGAGGGCGCAGAACAAGGGAAAGAACAUGGAGGUGACUCAGGAUCUGGAGAGAUUGGGCAAGAGGCCAUUAGCCGAAGUGUGCUACCGUCACGGGUUCCCAAGUAAGUUUCAACCUCCUAAGUUUAAUGAGUAUGAUGGAACAACUGAUCCUGUGCAGCACUUGAAUAAUUUCAAGCAAAAAAUGGCGGCUUGGGAAGGGAGCCAGUAUGACGGAAUGUGGUGUCGACUGUUCCCUAGCAGCUUGAAGGAUAACGCUACAGACUGGUAUCUCAGCUUAUCACCAGGGAGUGUAUCAAGCUUUGCUCAGCUCAGUGAGAUGUUUGUCAAGCAUUAUAUUCAUCAGAAAAGACAGGCUGCAGAUAUAGCGUCACUAUUUGAUUUGGAACAAGCUCCAGGUGAGUCUCUUAGAAAGUUUGUUACUAACUUUAAAAAUGAGAUUUUGAGAACAGAUGGCGGAGUAGAUGAAAGAACAGCUGUGGUAGCAUUUCAGAAGGGUAUAAAUAAGAAGUCUCCUGCAUAUGACUCGAUUGUGUCAUCACGGAUGGCGACUCUGGAUGAACUUUUCCAGAAGACGGAGAAAUACAUCAGACUAGAGGACAUAGCAUCACGGAGAGCUCCAAAAGUGGUACCGGCAUCCGUUAACUCGGUGGCGGAAAAAAGUAAAAAAGGGAGAAGCUAGCUCACGAAGUGAUUCGCCACCAAGAGAUUCCGGCUCUAGGAGGAACAAAGAUGGAUCGAGAGGUCACGACAAAAGAGAAAGGAGGGAGGAUAGAGAUACUUCACCAAGAAAGUUGAUACCACCGAAACCGCUACCGCAACUCACAAUGUCACUAGAUCAAAUUUUGAAGAGAAUAAGAGGAAGAAAGUACUUCCAGGAGCCGUCGGUAAGAUGUAGAACAGUCAGGGGAAAGCCAUUCUGUGAGUAUCAUCAGACUUACAACCACCCUACUGGAGAUUGUUAUGAGUUCAAAUCCUUGAUAUGGAAAUGGAUGGAGGAGGGCCAUUUGAGAGAGUUUAUAGUGGAAAAGAACAAGGAGGAAGACAAAACAGAAAUUCAAGUCAGAGGGACCGUUAACAUGAUCUUAGAAGGAGCUAGAGAAUCCUUGAACGAGGUCAGGAGGAAGAUAAGAAGAGUGAUGCAGAUAAGAGAAGACUUACAAACAGUCGGAGCCGUUCCAGUCAUGCGAAAUGGCAGACCAGUGCAUCAGAGUGAGUCGAUUGGGUUUUCAGAGGAAGACCUCAAAGGAGUAGUCACACCACACAAUGACCCAUUGGUCAUUUCCAUACUCAUUGGAAAUUGGAAUGUCACGAAAGUGUUAGUAGAUUGUGGAAGUGAGGUAGAUGUUCUGUUCACCAGGGGCUUGGAUCAAAUGAAACUGGAGAGAGGUAGCUUGGCAAAUUCACCUGGAGACAUUUACGGAUUCAAUGGGGGAGCAGUGCGGCCAGUUGGAGAGAUAGUCUUACCGGUUACAGCACACACCAGAACCGUCAUGUCGAGAUUUGUGGUCAUAGAUGCUCCAACAGAGUACAAUGCAAUCUUGGGAAGAGAAUGGAUUCAUCUUAUGAAGGCAAUUCCGUCAAGUUACUAUCAGAAGAUCCGUUUUCCGACUGAAGAUGGACAAUAUGAGAUAAGGAGCAAUCAGGCUAUGGCCAAGAAUUUGAAGAUAGCAACAGUAAAAAGUAUGAGGCAUGGCACAGCAGGUGCUGGGCCGUCAUCUAUCCCUGCAUAGCAACGACAGAAGGAGGGUGACGGGUUCCCGCGUGAAGUGCUAAAGACAGAAGAACAAACGGAACCCGUCAACCUCAAUGAGGUAGGGGAUCAGCGGAUCACCUACAUGGGAACCAACUUGGAUGAGAAGGUGAGGUUUGAUCUUUUACAAUUCUUAAAAGAUAAUAUGGAUGUAUUUGCUUGGUCUAUGAAUGAUAUGACAGGGAUCGAUCCAGACGUAGCAUGUCACAGAUUGAAUGUCAAUCCAAGUUUCAAACCAGUCGCGCAGAAAGUGAGAACAAUAAAACCUACACUGGCAGAGGCAAUAAAACAAGAGAUCGAGAAGAUGGAGUCAGCUGGAAUAACAAGAGAAGUUCAGUAUCCAGAGUGGGUAUCUAACAUAGUGGCGGUUCCGAAGAAAAACGGAAAGGUUCGGAUCUGUAUAGACUUCACAAACUUAAACAAAGCAUGUCCAAAAGAUAGAUACGUCAUGCCAAGGGUGGAUGAGCUAGUGGACAGAACAGCAGGCUUUGGGUUACUGUCAUUCAUGGAUGGCUAUUCCGGCUACAAUCAGAUUCCUCUAUAUGGUCCAGAUCAGGAGAAAACGGCCUUCUAUGCUGGUAAGAAAACUUUAUGUUAUACCAAAAUGCCAUUUGGUUUGAAGAAUGCAGGAGCUACUUAUCAGAGGCUGGUAGAGAUGAUGUUCGAAGAUCAGCUGAGGAAGACGGUAGAAGUAUACAUUGAUGAUAUGUUAGUCAAGUCCAAAGAGCCGGAGGAUCAUCUAAAGGACCUGGGAGAAACCUUCCAGACACUGCGUCAGUUCAAUAUGAAGCUUAAUCCAGAAAAAUGCACUUUUGGAGUACAGUCAGGAAAGUUCCUUGGUUACAUUGUUACCAAGAGAGGAAUAGAGGUUAGUCAAGAGCAGAUCAGGGCACUCACGGACAUGGCGUCACCAAGAACACAGAAAGAAGUGCAAGUACUGGCUGGCCGAAUUACGGCAUUGGGAAGAUUCAUAUCAAGAUCCACAGAUAAAUGCAAGCCAAUUUUGAAGCUCUUGAGAAAGAAUUUAUCUUUUGCUUGGAAUGAUGAAUGUGAAGAAGCCUUCCAGAAGUUGAAAGAAUACUUGAGUAGACCACCAGUUCUGUCAAAGCCAUUUCCGGGGGAGACACUCUAUGUUUAUCUAGCAGUGUCGGACAUUGCAGUAAGUGCGGUCUUGACCAGAAGGGAGGCCUCAAAGGAGAGCCCAGUCUAUUUCCUCAGCAAGAAGAUGACUUCACCAGAGACAAGGUAUUCUAGAGUGAAAAAGUAUGCCCUCGCUUUACUAUUUGCAGCUCAAAGAUUAAGACCUUAUUUCGAAGCUUAUAGUCUGACAGUGGUUUCAAACCUCCCUCUCAAUCAAGUGAUGCCAAAAAUCGAGCGUUCUGGAAGAAUGGAAAAAUGGGCAGUUUCAUUGAGUAAAUAUCACAUUCAGUAUGAGCCCAAGAAGGCGGAAAAAUCACAAGUGCUGGCGGAUUUCUUGGCAGAUUUCCCAGUGGAGGAUGUAAUCAAGGGUGCAGAAAUGCAAGAGGAAGAGCAGCUAGAGUAUCUAGAAGUUCAAGAUACCGGGUGGAAAAGCGUCAAAGGAUGGAAGGUGUUCACCGAUGGGUCAGUAAAUAAAGGAAGAUCAGCAAUCGGGAUAGUAGUGGUAACACCAGAGGACACUAAGAUCGAGAUCGCAGAAAAAUUAGCCUUUCCGGCUACCAAUAAUGAGACAGAAUACGAGGCGGUGCUGAAAGGUUUGGAAGUAUUGCUGAAGUUAGAGGUAAAGGAGGUUACGGUUUUCACAGACUCGAAAUUGGUGGUGGAACAGUUCAAUGGAACAUAUAAAGCUCAGACUGGGAAGAUGAUGUUGUACUUGGAGGCAUUGAAGAGGAGUGUAGCAAAGUUCUCGAAAGUUGAUAUUGUACAUCUGUUUAGGGGAGAGAACCGGCAUGCUGAUGCAUUGGCUUACCUGGCAACGGCAACAGAAGAGAAUUCAACCAAGACUAUAACGUUCAUGCAAAGAUCUCAGCCAAUGAUAGAGGUGAAGGAAGUGACUGUCAACCUCAUUCAAAACUUGGGAGCAAGUUGGAUGGACCCAAUAAUAACCCACUUAAAAGGUGGUUCUCUUCCGAAAGACAAAGCAGAAGCUAGAUCGAUUGUGGAGCAAUCCAAAAGGUAUGCAAUGAUAGGGGAAGACCUGUAUAGGCGAUCACCAACUGGACCGUUAUUGAAGUGUGUACACCCAUCCCAAACAGAAGGAGUCAUGGCGGAAUGUCACAAUGGAAGUUGCGGCAGUCACUCACCGGGACGGGCCAUGGCACACAGGAUAAUGAUUCACGGGCAUUACUGGCCAAGUAUGUAUAAAGAUUGUUGCAACUAUGCUAAGAAAUGUCAUGGUUGUCAGAUUCAUGGGAGACUCAUACAUACCCCAGCUGAAAACCUUCACUUUAUAAGCAAUCCGUGGCCCUUUUCGAUGUGGGGAAUUGAUAUUGUGGGAAAACUGGAGAAGUCACAGGGAAGAGAAUAUUUAAUUGUGGCCACAGAUUACUUUACGAAGUGGAUUGAGGCAGAACCUUUACGAAGGAUCAGGGAGGUAGAUGUCAAAGAUUUUAUCUGGACCAACAUCAUCUGCAGGUUUGGCUUACCAAGGGCUAUAGUAGCAGAUAACGGUGCUCAAUUCCGUGGAGAGGAGUUGAAAAAGUUUCUGGCAAGUUAUAACAUAAAGCAACUCUUCGCAACACCAUUUCACCCACAAGGAAAUGGGCAGGCGGAAGCAUCAAACAAGGCCAUACUGGAGGUACUGAAAAAGAAGCUUGAGGAUAAAAAAGAAAAAUGGUAUGAGAAUCUUUGGGAAGUACUAUGGGCAUACCGGACGACUCCAAGAAGGUCCACAGGGGCAACUCCAUUCUCCCUCACUUAUGGGAUGGAAGCUGUGAUACCACAAGAAAUGUUGGUACAUACGGCUAGAAGAAUGGUGGUCGAUCUAGGGAAGAAUAAUGAGAUAAUAGAGAGAGAGCUGGUCUUAGCUGAGGAGGUCCGGGAGCGCGCCAAGCUCAGAUUGGAGGGCUAUCACCGCCAACUAGAGAGGACAUACAACAAAAGAGUCAAGCCAAGAAGCCUAGUUCCAGGGGAUCUCGUGUUAAGAAAACAGAAUCCGCCUCCAGCCAAACUAGAGCCAAACUGGGAAGGGCCUUUUGUGAUAGACAAGGCGGGAGCGAAUGGAGCAUACUACUUAACCUACCAAGACGGUACCCCUCUUGAUAAGCCAUGGAGUAUCAGCAAUCUAAAGAAAUACUAUGCCUAGAGGGCAAAGAUGUAUUAGAGCAACAACAGUAGACAGUAUGUACCUAGAUUUGUUUGAAUUUCAAUGAAAAUAUAAGAUUUUGUUGUUAUUGACUUAUCUAGUUAUAUAUAUAUAGCACUAUUGUCUGAGACCAGGCCAAAGGUCAGACAUAGAAGAAACCCAACUAAGGUUGGUGGGAAAUAACAUAAGUGUAGACUUGGCAGGGCAAGCCGUUAACUAAAUGUUAAAGUCUCUAUAUGAUUAUUUCUUCCCCAUUGAGUUUGAUUUAGACAAUACAGUGGGGUGCCUCUAAAAGAGAAGAGCAAUAGUGCUAGUGUGUUAACGGGGUUGCACUUGCUGAACCGUGACGACGGGAUCAGUAGAAGUAUAGCCUAAUGUUAGCACAUGAGAAACCAAUGCCAGAAGAUAACAAUAAUUGAUAGCAAUUAUAAAAGUUUGCAAUGUUGGAAGACUUUCGUCAAAAUUAAAAAUUAAUCAAAUUACAACUCAAGGCAAGGAGUCUCGGGUGGAAGCGCUAGGAGGCGUUAUCCGCAUUUUCUUGGCAGAAAGAAUAGCGGUUAAGUUUUCCUUCACUUGAGCCUUCACUUGCAUGGCAAGUUGCUCUUUGAAUUUCGCCUCCAUCUCCUCGUAUUUUGAAUUGUAAUCAGCCAGGAGAGUUUCUCUUUGCUCCCGUAGGUCGGCCAGAUACUGCUGAUAGUCAACAUCAUGAGCGGCUUCGAGUUCAUUUAUUUUCACUAAGCUGUCAGCCCAUUUCCCCUCCAACCUUGCUACCACGGUGGCAUGAGCAGCAUCAAGGGCAGCAAUACGCUCACGGUGCUCACCCUCAAGUGCAGCAAUGUGAUUACGGUGCUCACCCUCAAGUGCAGCAACGCGCUCACGGUGUUCACCCUCAAGCCUUUUCCGGUUCUUCUCGAUUUCAGCAUCACGAGACGCGGUUGUUUCUUUCAGUUGAAUCUUAAGUUGCUCGAUCUCGGCUUGAAGAGCCCAUUUCUCGCGAACUAGUCGAUUCUUAUCCACUGUAAUGUCGUGCUUCUCUUUUACAAGAUUUUCUUUUUCCAGCCUAGAAGCAUUUGAAAAAGACUUGACGACGAGACCGUUAACCUACAAUUCAAUAGAAAAGUUAUAGUCCAAAAAAAAAAAAAAAAAAAAAAAAAAAAAGAGAAGAGGGGAGACUUACGAGAGCUAGACCACGGAAAACUGUAUCUCGGUCCUCACCAAAGUUCAUCUGAUCAAUUUUAGCUUGAUCAGAAGGAAAAAUAGAAUUGUAGAUAGCGGCGAAAGCAGUUGCCCCAUUGUCAAAAGCCGAAGCUGAGGGAUCACGGGGAAGGGGAACGGCUGGAGUCUGGCUUGGAGACUGGGGGGAGGGAGAAUCAGCAAGUACUUUACCGCGAGAAGAGGAGCCAACCUUGUUAGGGUCAAAGGCUGGUACAGACUCUGAAGACGAAAAAGGACCUUGGGAAGUAACACCGGCAGGAGGUGUAGAAGUCUUGUCAGCAGUUGGUGCCGGAUUAAUCUCAGCAUCAAGGGUGGGAGAGAAUUGCUGGCCAUCUGCGGCUUGGUCACCUGAUCCAGAUGAAGAAUAAUUAAGAGUACGAUGGCGGGUAUACCUAGGUGCUUCACGAAUAGGUGCAACAAGUGUAGCAACAUCAAAAAUUUCGUGAUCAACAGGAAGUGGUGGAGGCAUCGCACCAAUAAUAGGGGGCUCAUUUGGAUCAAGGAGAGCCAUGGAAAAUUCCUUAAGGGGAGAAGAUGAAGGAUGAGAAGUUGAACCUGGUUGGGCGAGAUUGUCCAUGCCGGUGUCUUCAAAUAGGAGACCACCAUCAAACCCAAGUUCAUCAAGAUUAAAGGAAACCUUGAUUCCACUAAAGUUUGGUUGUCUGGGUUCUUCCAGAGAGUCGCUGGAGGAAGAAGAAGGGGAUCCCGGUAGUUGAGAAGGAGCUUCUGCCAUUUUGGCCCUUUUCACUCUAGGAAUGGAAGGACCGUGUUGCUUUGAACGCGCCAGGUGAACUUCGGGAGAUUCCGGCAAUGUCUCUGGUUCACCUUGGACUGCCUGAAAAUCAGAACUUUCAGUUGAAGAAGAAGAAAGAUCACGACUACAAUUCCUGACAAUCUUUUGAACUCGAAGAGCAGAUAAGAAAGGGGGAAGUCGGGCAGUUACUCUUUUUUGCUUCUUCUUCUUGGAUGGCGCUGAAACUGCGGAAGGAGGUUCACGGGUUCUCUUUUUAGUUAGGAUCGUCUGAAGAGGGAUAUUAUCUCCACCGUCAUCAGAUUCUCUCUCCAACUCAGUAGCGGCAGCAGCAGAAGCUUUACCCUUCCUUUGUGUUGAUCGGGAAGUAGGAGGAAUAGCAGAAGACCUGCCCUUUUUAUCCCUGAGAUAAUCUUUGUGGCAGCAGACGGGUAAGACGUAUUCCCCUAGAUCAAGAUCCUUAACGAUCGGGGUACCGUCUUUCUUUGAGGAAGUAAGCUCACGAAUGGCGGAAUAAGCGUCAGCUCCAGAUCCUAUCAAAGGUUCCCAAGGGGCGUCUUUGCGGGGUCUUAAGGCUUUGCCGUCACCGCGAACCUCUGGGAUAGAAAACAGAUAAAAGAGUUAGACAGGCACUAUCAAAAGGAUUUUCAUCCUAGGAAUGUUAAUAUAUGAACAAAGUAGAAAAAGUGAGGAAAAAACCUCCUAGAUUAAACCGCCAGUAUUUUAAAGGGUUAGAAAUGCCAGGUCCUUUUCCCCCGAAGUUACCAAAGACAAUCAUAGGAAAGUCAGGCCAUUCCUUGUCACUUUCCGGCAAUUUUUCAAUAAUAGACCGCCUACCGGGGCGUUUGACGAAAUAGUAAUAAGGUUGACCACAUUUUUCUUCGCAAACCCGAAGAUAGUAACAUUGACGUAUAUCAGCAAGGGAAACGGUAGUUCCUUCAUUGUUUAGUUGGUCUAGGGCCCGCAAGAUACGCCAAAAGUUACCAAUACAUUGUCCAGGGGCGACUUGGUAAAAAUUAAGUACAUCACGGACUAAAUCAGAAAAAGGAAACGGGCAACCAAAAGCUAUUUGGUGGGCUGUCACCAUAAUAGCAUCUUGGCGGCUAAAUUCGUGAUGUGCAAAGCGUAGGGCAUGUUUGUAGUUGAAAAUUUUUACAUCUUCAGGAAUGUCGUAUAGUUCACAGAGUAGAUCUAAAUCAGGUCUAUAAGGGUAGGUACUGGGCACAUACGAAUCAAGGUAGUAACUGGAAGGGGAAGGGUGAACACCGCCAUCACCUUGACCUCCUUCAACUGUCUUCCUCGAAGAAUCUUUCUUUUUCUGAUUUUGAUAAGAAGCCAUUUAUGUAUAGAGAAAGGCUCACCAAAAUCGUAGAGAAAGAAAGAUUAGGGGCGUAUACAGGAUGACUCCAAGAGGAGGAAAGGAGAGAAGAAAAAUAAUUUGGAAAUUUACGGCAAUCGAAGUACAGAGUAUAUAGCGAGAAGAAGAAAAAUGAAAACCUAGAUCUAAUAAUGGCUAAAAUUAAAAUCAAGAAUAAGGAGAAGAGAAUAACCUGAAUUAGUCGACGGAGGAAGAAAUAAAGACGAGAAUCGAACUUUCAGGGGACCGGACGGUGCGUGAUUUCGUAGAGAAGAUGAAGACUGAAGAGAAAGAUAAACAGAGGAGGAGAAUGAAGAAGAUGAAAGGCAAAUGGAAGAAUUGGGUUAAAGGUUGUAAAUUUAUAUGAGGAUAAUCCCAGGGGUAUUACGGGAAGAAGUAAAAUAGUGACGAGACAGUAGCAUUGGGAAGCGAAAGGACAGCAGUUAAAAUCAUAAGUGCGUCUGGGUAAGAGCAAAAGAGGCACGCGUAGGAGGUUCGGGACUCGAGAGCAUGCGCAAUUAAUGAAUAGCUGGAGAGAUAGGGAUAAGGCAGAGCCUAAGGCACGUGAGGAGCAGGUGAUAGAUUAAGUAAUGAAAAGAACUUAUGACAGUUUUUCCGUCAUCAUAAGGAGUUUACAUUUAGGCGGAGAAAAAGCCUUUGAGCCGCCAUCUAAGAAAUAUAGAUGACGGUCAAAGGAGGGGCGAUGUAAGUACCAAACCAUGCUAGGUGGAGUAUUGAGGACACAGGAGCUAGAUAAGGAGAGCAAACUGGGAAGUACCCAAUCGGAGUUCAGAACAUUCUAGAGUAUCACGGAUAAAGCACGUGAUGUCUGGCUGUAAAGCAUUCACUGUAUAGUAUGUGAUGGAGAAUGAAACACGUAGGAGAUAAUAGAACCAUAGGAUGCAAAGGAGGAUCCAACGGUUCAAGGAAGGCGGUGAAUAUUGCUAUAAAAGGAUCACGUUAGGGUUCGCUAAAAGGUAACUGUUCAUUCUUUGCUAAAAACCUAUUCUCUAAACCUAGCCGCUUACUGACUUGAUCGUUGGAGCUUUAUCCACCGGUCAUUGUCCGGUGGUCAUUGCAGGUACUACCGUUGAAGCAGUUGAAGGACCCAGCUGAGCUCAUCAAGGAAAGUGGGCUUACAGAUAUAAUGAGAAAAGUGGAGAGGAUUUAGUUUUACUUACAAGUUACUCUGAAUGCUUCAAGAAAAUUCAAGUACACAAUUUGGCUUUCGAGCAAGCAGUUGUAAUUGUUUAAUCUCUCUUUCUGGCAGUUCUCCAGGAUAUAGCUUAGAGUUAAAAUAAACCCUUGUUGUUAGUUUGAUAGUCAGUUUAUCCAAUACUCUUGCACUUUUUAUCAAAAAUUUAACAAACCACAUCUUCUCCGCUGUCCAUCUAAAAUGCUGGAUCUCAACUAACUUCAAGUGUGACAAGAAACAUUUUGGAGUUGUUCCCAUUAUUUGAACUUAUCCUUUAAAUUGGAUCGAACUAAGUCCCUAUAUAGGAAACAUAAUUAGAAGCUUUAAAAUGAAACUGACAUGAAAAAGUUUCUUUUCAAAGCCGAAAAGAACACAAAGGAAAAUUAUGGACUUACAUCGGGAACGGAAAUAGAUUCGAUAUUAGGCAUGUUACAGAGUAAAUCUAUGAAUGUUCUACCAUUUGCCUCCGUUUUGUACCACACAGUCAGAUGGAUCAAGCGGGAAAGUGCAAGUAAAUGGAUUGAGUGGUUCGGACAGGCGAGGGCCUAGAUAUAUCAAAUAGUACUUCUGAUAAAAAAGGUAACCCCUGAACUUCAACGAUACAAAAGUACAAGACUCUGCAUAAAUCCUUAUCGCACAAGAAUUUAAAACAUCAGUCCCCCCAUCCCCUAUUUUUAGCAGAAAUGGUAACACUCUUGAUCUUUGACCAUACACAGUAAUCUAGGAAAAAUUCAUCUAGGAUAGACAACUUAAAGAAAUUUCCUGUAUUGAUUGAUCUCCAAAAAAUGCAAUCUAAGAUGCAGGACCUUAAGGCUUGAAAAACAAACCAAAGCGGGUAUCUUCAUCGAGACACUCAUUUCAAUUUCAAUAUCCUCAAUGAUUUAUAAGUAAAAUGCAAUCUGAAAACCGAAAGGGACAUUCCUUAAAAAAUUGAGAUAUUUAGUUCUUGAACUUUACGCCUCAUUGCCUCAUAGAGAUCCAUUCAUUGAAGUGAGUUGCAUCACACUCCUUACAUUUGAGGUUGCACCUAGCAUAUAUUUGAAAUAUCAUUGCAACGAAGCACUUUGUCUACAAACUCACUAAAGAUUCCCUUUGUUUUCCUAUAAUUUGGACUCUUGCUCGAGUCGUUAUACAAAUGUUCAUCACAAAAAUCAAGAUUGUGGAUGAACUUCCAAAAGGCCAUUCCAUCUUGUUGAUAAUACACUAGUACCCAGUGGCGGCCCUGAGGGCAUGCCCAAGAAGCUUUUGAUUGGGGCCAACCAAUUUUUAAAGAAAAAGUGCACUAAAUCUUUACUCAACAUGUAUAUAAUUAUUUAUAGACCACAAUAUUGUCAUAAUUAAUUUGGUAGAUUUACUGGUAGCAACACUAUACCCUACUAAAAAUGCCCUAAGACCAAUUCUUAAGUACUAUUUUUUUAAGAAUUUUUUUUUUCCACAAAAAUUAUUUUCUUAUGUGUUUAGAAGUAGGGGUGUUAAACGAGGCGAACGAGCCAAGCUUUGGUAUGUUCAAACUUGAGCCAAGCUUUUAACAAGCCGAGCCCAAGCUUUUCGGUUCGUUUAACGACCUUAUUUAAAAGAAAUGUAGCUACACAUGUGGGUCAUCUAUGUUUAAAUUUGAAUUGGCCACCUAAAACUCAGGGCCGGCCCUGCUAGUACCCAACAACAUAUUUAGUAGGAAGAAAGGAGAGGAUGUAAUGCAGAAUCCAGAAUGUGUUCAGGUAAAUUGUUAAUUCUAUCGAUCUCACCAUUGCACUGUUGUUUAGAUAGUUUUUGCUUUUUAGAAUUUUUUGCAGAAGCACUUGUUUCCAUGACUAAGGUUCCAACCAGAAGCUAUACUGGAAUAUCUAAGAACAGACGAACUUAUGAUUGAUGAACAAUAGUGUAUGCUUAAUGCAUAAAAGGAAAAGGCACAAACAUUGCAGAUAUCUCUCUGUUUUACUGAUCGAAUCAACUCACUCUCUUGACAGCACUAGUAGCACACGCGAAAAAGUCGGUCGAUCUCUUUUGGUCCUCUUUGGCUGUGUCCAAGUGAAACUCAAGAAUGAAGCAGAUAGGUUCCAGUCGAAGGCAUUCAGCGAUGGGAUUGAGAAGAUAUGGAAGAAGAUUCAGUGAUCCCAGCAGGGUCAAUCUCAUAGGGGAAGUCAACUAGUGCGGGAUAUAAGAAAAUAAUUAUAAAAUAAGAUGACACCUCAAAAAGGAAGAAUUACAUUAUUUUAGUAAGGAAAAUAGGCAUUACUUUCUAAAUAAAACAUUGCGUUGUAACUAUGAGAGAGUCUUUUCUCUCUCUCUUCUUUUAAGUUUUCUCUAUCUGAAUGUCGAAGACAUAUUACUUAUUUAUCAAGAAUGUUUCUAAAUUGAUAUGUACAAUUAUUAUAUAUUUGCCAAGAUGUUCUACAUUUCUAAGAUUUCCAUAUUACUGAAUAAAUAAUCAAAUGUUAGGUUGAACUCCAAGUUAAUUAAUUAAUUCCACAAUGUAGAACAAGAUAAUUAUAUUUUAAAUAAAUAAAUAAAUGUAGCAAACAAAAAUAAUCAAGCUGUUUUCCUUUUAAUAGCAACAAAACUGUAUCAACGAACCAUCUUUAGAGUUAGAGUAUCAAUGAACAAGGUAAUCUAAAAUUAUCAUUUCAUAUAUAAAUUGAAUUAUCAAUUAGGGUUAGAGUUCAUUAUUAGUGGCAAAAAAAGGUUAGAGUUCAUUAAACUUUAGAACAUUUCGUCAUGUGAUGUGAUAUAUUGGUUUCAAGAGUUAUCUACAAAUCCUCCAUUCGUUAAUAUUGUAGAUGAUAUACAGUAGAACCUCUUUAAAUUAAUACUCGAUUCGUUAAUCUCUCUAAGUUAAUGAAAUUCUCUAGUCCCGAUUUACAUCGUAAGUAGCUAAAUCAACACUCGGUAAGUUAAUAAAUUUUAAUAAAAUUGCAUAGGUCCGAUGCUAUUAAUUUAAAGAGGCUCUACUGUAUAAUUCAAUCUAUCUCACUUAUUGAGAAAAGUGAAAACAUUGGAGGUAUGAAGAAGUAAAGUGAAGAACUACAGUAAAAUUAAUAAUAAUGAAUAAUCUCAGCCCUUGUAGAAAUUAAAGCAACUUUAGGUUAGCUGUAGACAAGAUAGAUAUGGACGAAGUGAUUCUCAUUAUUCACUUCUUUGUUCUCUAUACAUAGCUUAGCCAAACAUAACAUGUACAUAGGAAAAAGAGGUGUAUUCACUUGUUAUUUCUCUAAGUACCACAUACAGUAUAUAUAUAGGCAUCACAAAGUCAAUCACUUGUGCUUAGCUAACAUAGGUGAGUGCCACCUAGCAUCCUUUUCUGACACAUCAAUUUGAUGACUAAUCAAGUAUCACUGAUGGUCUACCUAAUCACCUGGAUUAAGAGUGUGGGCUUGGAUUUGGACAUCCACUAUUUACAACACUCCCCCUUGGAUGUACAAUAUCCACCAUAUCAAGAUAUUGCCUCAUAAAACCUUGCUAGGAAAAUCCAGUGGGAAAAAACCAUGGCAAAGGAAAAAAAGUACAAUAAUUGAUUUCUUGAUUGGUGUUGGAUGCACUAUAUACUGCCUCGUUAAAACCUUGCUACGAAAACCCAGUGGAAAAAACCGUAGCUAAGGAAAAAUAGUACAGUGCGCUUAAUGUCCUGGUGGCUCCCCCUGAAGACAACUCCCCCUGAUGAAGAUUAGACUAAGCUCGACUUUCGGCGAAUCCCAAUGUCAUAUGCCAGUUUCUUAAAAGUUGAUGGAGGUAGUGACUUAGUGAACAAAUCAAAGAGAUUCUCAUCAGACCAUAUCUUCUGGACAUUGAUCUCAUUACUCUUCUAUAGUUCAUGAGAGAAAAAGAAUUUUGGAGAAAUAUGUUUUGUUCUAUCACUUCUGAUGUAGCCUUCCCUGAUUUGAUCAGUAGAUGCAGCAUUGGUUGUGGUUGAUGAUACAUCAUAUCUAAACAACAUGCGGGCUCCCCUCAGUUACAGAAACACUAACAGUGAUUUGUUUGGAAGAUCACCAAGAAAUUGUUGUACCACCAUAAGUAAAUACAUACCCGGUUUGCGAUCUUUCUUUGUAUGGGUCAGAUCUAUAUCCUGCAUCUGCAUACCCCUUUAGUUAGGAGCCAUUUGGUGGUUCUCUUGAAUAUUAUAAACCCAUAUCAGCCUCGAAAGUAACGCAUAAUCUCUUUUAAGCCAGUCCAAUGGCGUUGGGUUGGAGCUGACCUAAACCUGGCUAACAAAUUCACUGCAAAUGAAAUGUCAGGUCUAGUACAUUGGACUAAAUAUAAAAGAGCACCCUUAACACUCAAGUAUGGUACUUAAGGAGUAAGUAAAGAUUCGUUCUCCUCUUUAGGACGAAAUGGGUCUACCUUCACAUCAAGUGACCUUACGACCAUUGGAGUGCAAUUUGGCAACAUUUGUCCAUGUUAAAACGAUUUAAAACUUUUUUAGUAUACGUUGACUGAUGGACAAAUAUUCCAUGUGUUGUAUGUUCGAUCUGCAGGUCGAGACAAUACUUUGUUUUCUUGAGAUCUUUCAUCUCGAACUCAUUCUUUAAAUAGUUUGCAGCUUUGGCAAUCUCUUCAGGAGAUCCAAUUUUAUUUAUGUCAUCUCUUAAUCUUAAUAGAGUACAUAUGACAUGGUUUUGCUUCAGGCAGUUAGUUUGCAUCUUUAGCAAUCUCUUCAUGAGAUCUAAUUCUAUUUAUGUCAUCUCUUAAUCUUAAUACAUAUGACGUGGUUUUGUUUUAGGCAAUUUUUAUCCUUCAGGGACUUUCAUAUAAAUAUCAGUAUUUAACAUUUCAUAAAGAUACGCAGUAACCACGUUCAUGAGAUGCAUGUCGAGUCUUUUAAAGACCGCCAGACUAAUUAAGAAUCGAAACGUAAUGACAUCCAUCACAAGAAAAUAUGUCUCUUCAUAAUCAAUCCCGGGUUUUUGCGAGAAAUCUUGUGCCACGAGACGAGCUUUAUACCUCACAAUCUCAUUUUUCUCAUUGUGUUUCCUUAUAAAUGCCCAUUUGUAACCUACAAGGUUAACAUUCUUGGGGGUUAGGAAACACAUUUGUUUUGCAAGAGAAUCUAAUUUUGUUUGAAUUGCAUCCUUCCAUUUUGGCCAAUCAUGUCGUUGUCGACUAGGGCUGGCAAUGGUACGGGUUAGACCCGAAACCCGGUCCGAUCCGUACCGAUAAGAAUAGGUUUGGUAUUGCAUUUUUAUGUAUUGGUACGGGUCUGGUUCUUCAAAUUAGGACCCGAUUGUUAUCGGAUCGGGUUUGGAAUUAGUAGAUACCGAACCGAUAUGGACCCGAUAUAAAUUAUUUUGAGGUUUUGAAUAUUUUAGAUUCACUACCAUUAUUAACAUAUCAUAAAAAUCCUAAAUUCUAGAAAUUUGAUUAUUGUAAAUAAAUGUUUUAAUACUAAUUACCUUAUAAUUAUAUGCAAUUACAUUAAAAACAUAGAAAUAAAUAAAAUCAUAUACCAUAUUUGUAUACUUGAUUAUAUAUAUUUACUAAAUAUAUCUAUCUAGAUUCUUAAAAAGUAACUCAUUUUUUCUAAAUUUGUAUACAUGACAUAUCAAUUUAUGGUCAAAAUACCCGAAUCCAACUCGGAUCCGAUCCAAUAAGAUUUGGUAUGGGUAUGGUUCCUUACUUUCGGACCCGAUAGGGUCUGGUUCCGGGUCCAGGAUUAUUAGUUUUCUUAUUGGUUCGGGUAUGGUAUUUCUAAUAUCCGGUCUGAAUCGGUCCAUUGCCAGCCCUAUUAUCGACAUUCCUCAACAGUAUGUGUAUCAAGACCAUCAUCAUCUGCUGCAAUCUCAGCAGCUACGGCAAAGGAGAAUACGUCAUCGAUGACAAUUUUAUUUCUAUUCCACAACUCUCUUGUGUAUGCAUAAACUACAGAAAUUUCAUCAUUUUCAGGUACCUGAGCCAUAUCUGGGGCUUGUGUUAGUUCUGGGACAACCACUUUGGGGGCUUGUGUCAUUUCAGGGGUUUAUGUCACUUCAGGGACGACCACUUAGGAGCUUAUUUCGCUUCAGGGAUGGCCACUUCGGGGGAUUGUGUCACUCUAGGGACACAUUCCUCUUCAAGAGGUUUUUGUUUAGAGAGAGUGUGUUUUCCUUGCCUUAUAGCCUCUUUAGGAGCGCUAUUUACUGGAGGUUUUGUUUGACUUUUCCUCUUCCAGGGAUUUGAGUCCUUUGACCCAAUAGGUCGUCCACGCUUCUGGCGUACUUUAGACGAUUUCAUUUGCUGCCACAUUUGUGGGAUUUCCUUCAGGGACAUGUCAUCCUUCAGGGACAAAUCGUCCUUCUGGGACUUUAAUUCUCGCAGGCGCAUUAACAACUGCUAUAUUUUAUCUUAUCACUCUUGCAAGUCAAUUUAGGCGCUUCUUCAGGAAGCCACAAAUAUUUACACCGUUCUACAGUAACGGUACUUCUUCAGGAAGUGCUUCUUCAGGAAAUCGUAAAUAUUCACGCUGUUCUUCAGGAACAGAUGUAUUUUCUCCCCCUAACGGCGGGAAAACUGUCUCAUCAACGUGACAAUCUGCAAAUCUAGCGAUACGAACAUCAUAUGUCAAUGGUUCAAGAUAUCUAACAAUAGUUAGAGAAUCAAAACCAACCCAAAAAAUUCUAGACUACGAGACAUAUAACUUUACUAUCCGCAAGAUGAUUAUACAUGCUAUAUGCAUAUCCCUUCACAAUACAAGGAAAAUAUUUAAGUAUACUAUUAGAAACGAAUUUCAAAUAGUAAAACAAUGUAUAUGAGGAUUAUUUGACCAAAUAAAGUUAGAACUUCCGGUUCUUAAUUAAUGGAUUAAAACUUCAAGUCUAAUCAAAGAUGUGAGACUUCAGGCUUGAUCACUAACAAAUAAAAACUUUAGAUUCUUGGUCAAAAUCAAAUAUUUGAAACUUCCGGCUCACUGAGGAUUUUCUCGUUUUAUAAAGACUUCAGGCGUCAACAUCAUUUAUAAAAUAUGAUCAUUAGACUUCGAGUCUUGAUCUAAUCAUACAUAACUUCAAGUUCUUGGAGCUUUAAGCCCAAAUAAAAAUUAAAUUUGAUGUUGAGCUUCUGGUUCAUUAUGGAACACAUCAAUAUCACUAUGAAAUAAAUGGUUAGAACCAAUAAUUUCAAUUUAAAAAAUCAAAUACUUACUCAAUACUUACACCGGUAGUAGUGUAGUAGUUUAAUAUUGUAGUUCUUGUCUAUGUACUUCUUGAACAAUAGAGCAAUCUCGUGCUGAUAACGUCGUAAAAAUUAAAGCAACUUCAGGUUAGCUAGUUGUAGACAAGAUAGAUAUGGACGGAGUGAUUCUCAUUAUUCACUUCUUUGUUCUCUGUACAUAGCUUAGCCAAACAUAACAUGUACAUAGGAAAGAGAGGUGUAUUCACUUGUUAUUUCUCUAAGUACCACAUGCAGUAUAUAUAUCUAUAUAAUAUUACAAGGCGGUCUCAUAAACACAGCCGUUAGAUGCCUAUUAGGACAACCACAACCAUUGGAUGUAGAAUAAUUUAUAUAAUCGAUGUAAUAAGUUGUAAUAAUAGCCUUAGAUGUCCAAAAUUCGAUCUUAACCAUUAGUUGUCUAUUGAGACAAUCGUAGCCAUAUGAUUAAGAGUUUUAAUUGCUAUCACAUUAAAUUUCAGAAAUAUAACCUAUAGAUUAAUUAAUAAUACUAAAUAACCAAUAAUUAUGAGACAUGGGCAAUUAAAAUUAUUGUAAAUUAAUUAAUAAUACUAAAUAACCAAUAUUUAUGAGACAUGGACAAUUAAAAUCAUUGUAAAUUUAUUUUUAAAAUAAUAAUAAAAAUAUUGAAACCAAUGAAUCUUUGGUGUAUAAGGAUUUAGAUGUUCAAAAUUCGAUCUUAACCGUUAGUUGUCUAUUGAGAGAAUCAUAGCCAUAGGAUUAAGAGUCUUAAUUGCUAACACAUUAUCUUGUGGAUUAAUUAAGGCUCCAGAUUUUGCCAAAGAAAAAAAUGUUUUUGCCAAUGAUUAAUUCUUGGUAUUACAUAAUUGCCCUCAAUUAGUUUAAUUUAAAAUUUAACUAUUUAGUAUUCACAAAAUCUUGGAGAAAUCUAUUAAUGCUUUGCCCAUAUAAGGAUCAUACAGAAAUUUUGUAAUUAAAUUUUUUUAUUUUAAAUCCCCAAUUUUGAAUUUAUAUUUAUUUAAAAUACUUAAAAAAUAGUUUUUUAUGUAAAAGUUUAAUAAAUAGAAAAUGAAAAAGAUUCACUUUCAUUAUUGAUUGGUUUAAUCAAAAUUUUGAUAUGUAAUUAGAAAAGAAGAAUCAAACAAUUUUAGUGAAUCAAGAGAUUUGAUUUAACAGAUAUUUUGAUUUUUAAGAAUCUAAAUUCUAAAAAAAUGAAAAGUGGUUUUUGAACAACAAUUGUCAUAUUUAUGGUAAAACAAUUGAGGGUAAUUGUGUCAUAUCAAAAAGUUAUCAUUGGCAAGAUUAAUUUAAUUGAACCAUUAAAUUGCAAAUGUUUACUUACAUAUUAGCAAGAUUAAUUUAAUUAAAAUUUUGUAAUUAAAUUUUUUAUUUUAAAUCUCUAAUUUUGGAUUUAUAUUUAUUCAAAAUACUUAAAAAAUAGUUUUUGAUGUAAAAGUUUAAUAAAUAGAAAAUGAAAAAAGAUUCACUUUCAUUAUUGAUUGGUUUAAUCAAAAUUUUGAUAUGUAAUUGGGAAGAGAAGAAUCAAACAAUUUUAGUGAAUCAAGAGAUUUGAUUUAACAGAUAUUUUGAUUUUUAAGAAUUUAAAUUCUAAAAUAUGAAAAAUAGUUUUUGAACAACAAUUGUCAUAUUUAUGGUAAAACAAUUGAGGGCAAUUGUGUCAUAUUAAAAAGAUAUUAUUGGUAAAAUUAAUUUAAUUGAACUCACUAAAUUGAAAAUGCUUACUUACAAUGACAACUAAAUACUCGAAAACUAUUGUUGUAGGUUAUUUAAACUUUCUUACAAUAAUGGUGUUGACUAAACAAGAUAAAAUCCAACAAUAUCUAGAUGCAGGGUAUAAUGGACCACUGGAAGCAGCUAUGCGCUUAUUGGAAAUAUACUACCUAUAGAGAGACCGAAAGUGCAACGAUUACACCUCCAUCUUAUUGGAAUGCACCGUCUUCUUUUUAAUCCUAAUGAAUCAAAGAAAGCUAUUUUUAAAAGGGCUCAAAAUAAGAAAUCUACUCUAACUGCCUUUUGUUUAUUGUUGUGAUGCAGAUGCUUAUUCAAGGGAACUAACAUAUCAAGAGUUCUCUCAACAUUAUGUCUAGAACAAUGAAGAUUCUAAGUGGACAAGAAAAAAAUAUAGAUUUGCCAUUAGUAGAAUGUAUUUUACAAGUCCUAAUUUAAGUGAAAAAUUCUAUUUGUGGUUGUUGGUUACGAUUGUUAAAAGGUCUUGCACUUUUAAUGAUCUUAAAAUAUAUGACAAUUAUUUAUUUAAUACGUUUAAAAAAGCAUGUGUUGCACGUGGUCUGUUUGAGGAUGAUCAAGGAUACGUAGAAUGUUUAGAAGAGAUUACUCUUAUGGAAAUGUCACACGUUCAAAUUUUUUCCCGAUUGCAGGAAAAUAACACAAGCAUUAAAGCUUAGGAUUGCAUAAGGAGGGUAUGAGAUCCAAGUCUCUACUGAGUACAUUAUGCCACUAUUUUCCAUUCCUCCUAUAGUGGUUGGUAGUGAGACCACUGCUAAACUCUUGGUCACAAAAAUUGGUUGUGAAUGCAGUUGGAGUUGUUCUAUAUUAUCUUUUAGUAAUGUUUGAAUGUUUGUCACAUCUAUGUCUACUGUUUUGGUAAAUAAAUACUCAAUAUAUUUCAAUUAAUUAAGGGAAAGAUACUAUCACUACAAAAGAAUUUAGUUAUUCUAACUGGUAGUAGUUUUCCAUGUUUUGCACUGUACGUAAUUCAAACAAUGGGUCUUGGGAGAGAAAAUGACAACUGUAAUCAAUUUCAAAGUAUUAUGAUUUGGAAAGAGAUAUUUAAAACGUUUACUUAAAUGCUUACACACCAUUCUCUACCCCUCCAUAUGUUCUUCUAUGUGUUAAGAACUCAUACCAAAAAAAUAAAAAUAAAAAAAUACACAACUAAAAUGGAUGCUACCUAUAACUCUUAAAAGAAAGAAAAUGGCUAGAGAAAAAUUUUCAUAUGUUUAAUAUUUGUCUGCAAUCAAAGAUGGAGUGAAAUAAAUACAUAUUUGAAGCAAUUGAAUGAUAUUGGUAAAGUUCAAUAUAUAUGUAAUAUAUGCAACUAUUAUAUCCAAAAGCUCAUUAGGAUAAAAACUAAAGCCAAACGUGUUAUUGUUAUUCUUGAUCAAAGUAAAAGAUAUAUCAACUACAAUAAACACAAAAAUAAAUUAGUUGGAUGCAACAAAUAAAAAAUAUUAAAUCAAAAUUUAAGAUAAAUAUUUAAUAAAAAUUAUAGAAAAAAAAAUUAAAAUAAUAAUAAUUAAAAUAAUCGUGCCUUAGGCACAAGUUAUAACUAGUAAUACAUAUAUAUAUAUAAAUAAUAAUCUACAAAGGGUGCAUAAUUUGACUAGGACUAAUUUAUAUGACUAGGAUUAAUUUCUAUGACUGGGAUUAAUAUUUAGUAUGAUUAGGACUAAUCUACAAAGGGUGCAUAAUUUGACUAGGACUAAUUUAUAUGACUAGGAUUAAUUUCUAUGACUGGGAUUAAUAUUUAGUAUGAUUAGGACUAAUAUCUAUGAUUAAGUCUGAUUAGGACUAAUACACCCAAAACCUUAAUCGUCAAGUCAGUUUGCUAAACCUUAAUCUCUUCCAUCAUCAUCAUCGUCCUCUUUUAACCAGAAGAAAAAACUAAAACAAAAGUGAAAACGAUCUGCAAAUCCCUACUCACACAAUUGAGCACUAAAUAAGGAUUUGAGGGAUUUUGCUUCCUUACAACACCCUCGAAUUGAGUUUGCUUUGCUUCCUUUAUAAUACUCAAAUCACCCAAAACCGAGCUUGACUUAUUAUGGAGUCUGUUUUGUUUGUAGGAAAUUCGUUAGUUAUGAUUUUUAGGUGGUUCUAAAUUCUGCUGAAUUUUUUUUGAAUUUUUCUGUUUGGAUUUUGAAUUUUUAAUCGUCCAACAGCAUCAAGUUCUUCUUAAUCUGUUUGAAUUCAAGCCCAACAACAUCAAGUUCUUAUUUGGACAAUUGUUCUUAUUUUGCAGUCAAUUCAAUUCUAUAUAAACUGAACUAUUAGUUUUGAUCCUGUAUUACAAUCACAAUUAUUGACUGUAAAUAAUGUGAAUAAGUUGCAGAAUACUUGAAUGAGGAUUAAUUUUAAUACUGUAAAACAAUUCAAUUCUUUUAGGCACAUUGAGACCAAGGACGAAAAACAAAGUUAAUGAAUGAUGGAGUAAUUUAUGUAGUGUAGCUAGGUAGCUUGGGUUAGGAGACAUGUCUGUCCCUCUCUUCAAGUACUCCUGCAUUUGCACUGCAGUUAAAUUAUGCCCGUCCAUCGCAAUGAAUUCUUCAGCUGUCAUCCCAAUCUUAUUACUUUUAAAGUUUCAAUGUCUUAGGAACAUCUCAUGACAUUAUAGCAUAAUGAAACUUUAAUAGUUAUCACUAAAAUACACUCCAAAUUUUGUGUCUAGAGUUGCUUUGCUGCAUCUCAAACUAAUAUGCUAUGCUGUCAUAUCAGUUAUUCGUGUUCAUGUAUUCAGCAUUGGAUGUCUUACAGUGAUCUUCAUUCAUUAAGCAAAACUAAAAAUUCAUCGUAUUAGUAACCAAAAUCAUGUCGACACCUUCUUAGCGAAAUCACUUAUAUAGAAAACUAGAACUAAUGUUAUGGUAUUAUUAGGAGCCCCAAGGAAAAUGAUGUAGUCUGAAACCAUUUGAAUGGGGGAGUGUAUAGAGAGAGCUUUGUCAGAUUUGUACUACCUCUUCCUUGGUAGUAUACUAGCCAUAGCUUUCCUGAUUUUGUUUUCUCCUUAUUUUCCGGCCUCCAUGUGAAAUGUGCAUUGCCUAAUAACAAUGAUGCUUUCUUAAAACAAUAAUAUAAGCUGACACGGGUAUAGGUUUCUUCUACAGACAAACUGAAGUGAUGAGGGAAUUUUAAGUUAAUUAAAUGAGUACGGGACUAGAAACUAAUCUAAUGUAUUUUUAAGAAAAAACAAUGAUGUAUGAAAAAUUAAAAAUUAAUAAAUUAGAAUUAAAUAAUAUCAAGCUAAAUUAAUCAAAAAGACAAAGGAAAGUUUGCUGAAAGUGUAUCUAGAGCCGGUCAUAAUCUGAAGAGGGUGGACUUCGACUCUGACGUUAGCCUUACGUCGGUGACCCAAAAUAUAAUAGCAGACAAGUUUUGAAAACCAGAAGAACAAGCUAAAAUCCAGUGUAGACAAUAAUUAACACCUCACAAUGAAUUUUGUAAGAAAUAUUCAAUUUGAUUAAGUACUUUAACUAAUAUGGCAUAUGCUUGGAAUUUAAAUUUUAAACAAUGUCAAAUGGAGCCUAAAAAGUAAAUGGGAUUUGGAUUUAUACAUAUUGUCUCCUUCAUUCCUUCGAAUGUUUUCGUAGUUGAGUAUCCUUCUAGAUACUAUGUUGAGGUUAAUACCUUUAUUUUCACUUUUUAGCAUACAAUUUUGAUCUAUAUUAUCAUACAAACACAAAAAAAUUGUUUUUUCGUUUAAUGUUAGCAGUUUUGUUUUGUUUCCCUGUUUUACUAACUAAGAAAGUUUUAUUUCAACUACUGUUGAAAUCCUAAAACGUUAGCUUGACACUUUCCCCAUUGUUUUGCCCUUCCCAGUAUUCCACUUAUAAUGCUCCCCCGAGCUGACUUCUUUUAUAUCUACAUUGUCUGACAGAGAAAGAACAAUGGGUACAAAAGCCUUCUUCUGAUGAGUCUGUCAUGUGUAACAACUCCAUCCAGAAAUGCCUAGGCUGAUUUGAUAUUGAAGUUUCCACCUAGACUAAGAGCCGAUAUGAUUUUAAAGAUUUAAGUUUGGAUUAUACAUGUUAAGAUCUAAUUAUAGAGUACUUGAGGAGCUGGUGAUAGUUCAUUGUAGUUGUAGGCAUUCUAGAACUUUGUUGGCUAAGUGCAUAGCACAAAAUAUCGCGACAAUUAUAGUGUGACAAGUUUGACCAUUUUGAGAAACUACAAUUUUGUUUAGAAAGAACUUAGUCAAUAUUACUUGAAUGGGAACAAAAUUAGCCCAUUUUAAUUUAGGUACUUAGAAACACUGAAACAGAACACAAACUUGACAAAUUGAUGCAUUAGCUUGAUUUUUCUGGAAGGAACAUUAAUUAGCAUGGGCACUCCAUAUAACUAGGAAAUAUUAUGUGAGUGAAAAAGCAAAAGAAUAAAUUAGCAUAUAUAAUCCAUUUACGUUUUUAUACAGUAAAUGCAGAGAUAAUAUUAAUUGAUAUCUACAUUAAUAAGGAAGAAAAUGCAAAAGGAUAAUGUUCAGAAGAAUAAUGUUAUCAUAUUCCUUGGUAUGAUAAAUAUGGAUUAAGAAUAGAAAUUUGUUGAAGCCAAAUAUGCAUGUUUCGCCAACUAGCUUAUAAAAAUAUUGAAAUAAUUAGAGAUAUUUUGCAUGCAAUUUGAUUAGCAAGGACAAGUGAGCGUUACGCCUUUUCCAAUAACAAAUCUGAAGACCCUUUCAAUAAAAAUAUAAUAGCCUAAAUACCAAUCGAAUAAUACGUCGUCCAAUGACUUGGCAGGUAAUGUUACUUUCCAGAUGUGAGGCUAAUGGAACUGUGCACUUGGGAAUCCUCCAAGAAUGGUUUGGAAUACAUUGGUGGAACUCCCGAGCUUUCACUUUGUUCUGCACUAUCAUAUUUAUCAUGCUUUUGAGAUUAUUUGAGAUUAUGGUACAAAAACUUUUUUGUUCAUUCUUAUAUUUAUAGUUGUGGUUUUUUCUUAAUGGUUAUGAGAAGUACAAAACAUUAUUGAGAGGGCAUUGAUAGUAAAGGGGUAUACAGUACUUCUUGGAAGUUAAUUAUAUGCAAACUAGAUUUAUGUGAAAUUGUUGUUUGCUAUACAGGUAAACUAUGGUUCCAAACAAUUAUUCGAGACUCUGCCAGUGGCCACAGGAGGACUCUAUUGAAUUGGGAACCAGUUCAAAAUAUAAGCUUUUGUUACAGAUUCGUGUUCUCAAAUGAUGCUUCAUCUCCAUGACGUGUAUGAUACAAAGUCUCAAUAAGGUUAAGCAUUUGCCAACUCUACAGUAUUUCUAUAUGACCGUGGAUCUCCAUGUUCAUUUUUGUAACUUAUCGAUUAAUCUCACUUUCUACUUUAAUCGAUAAAUAUAAAAAUAAAAAUUGUUUACGGGUCACCAUGUGGAGAAGUAGAGGUAGAAUCUAAGCAUACUCAAGCUAGCUGGGUUGUGUUAGUAGCUUAAGUAUGAUCCAAAUCUAUUUUCUGUACUAUGACAUGAGCUGAUAGCUUAGCUUUUGAUGUUAUUGCACUUGAAUAACAUUAACUUUUGAUAGUUAGUAGCAAUUGAACUAUGACAUGAGCCGCUUGAAUGAGGCUGAAGCCUUUGAAGCUUGGGUUUUAGAUAGGGCUGGCAAAGUGACCCGAGACCCGUUAACCCGACACGAACCCGACCCGAUAUAAACAGGUUUGGGUUUAGCCUUAUCGGGUUGGCGGGUCAUUUUGACCCGAACCUGUUAACCUGUUUAAUAUACAGGUCGGGUUCAGGUCUGAAUAUUAACAGGUCGGGUCAGACCCGAAACCCGUUAGAAAACCCUAAGUAUAAAAUAGAAAAAUACCAAUACCCUAUCUAUCCUUGUUAUUUUCUUCUUGGCCGCCACCAUGAACAAACCAGUGAACCACCAUUAACGUCUGUUCUUCUUCAUGUAAAAUGGCAGCAUAUCAUUCAUCAUCAACUCUUCUUCCUUUAGAAGUUGAAAUCAAGAUUUCUUCAGCUAAUGAUCUUAAAAAUGUUAAUUGGAAACAUGGUGAUCUCAAAUCGUAUGUUGUUGUUUGGGUUGAUCCUAACUCCAAUUAAUCAUUCUUCUUCUUCUUCUUCAACUUCAUCAAUCUAUUGAUUUUUCUUCUCACUACUUUCCUUCCUUCUUUGCAGCUUUAAUCUGUCUAAGCCAUGUUCUGACGAAUUCUUGUCAACCAAAACGACCGUUUGAAGCAUAUAUUGGAUAGUACUGGUGUUGGCGGUGGUGAUGGCGAUGCUGUUGCUGAGAUCAACGGUGAGAUUAGAGCACGGUUUCUUGGAAUCAAAAGAAGAUGUACUUCUCUCAUUCUUCAGUUGACAAAUGUUUAUGAACAAAACAAUGAGUUAUCGGUUGUGAAUCUUUCAAUCGAAGAAAUCUUGAAAUAUAGAUGUUAGUACGUUUACUGUUUUUCAUGAUUCAUGAUGUUGAUGAAAAAUUGAGAUCCAUUGAUGAUGGUAAUUUUACAGAUAAUACAGAACCAGUUGGUUUUACGCCACGAUUUGGCUUCCAUCAUCCAAAUCAAGAAGCAACACCAUAUUACCCACAGUCAUAUACAAACAUUCAAUGUGUUUAAGAAAGCAGGUCUAAACAGGUCGACCUGAACCCGACCUGUUUAAUUAGCAGGUCAGGUUCGGGUUUAAGGAAAAAGAGUUAAACAGGUUAACAGGUCAGGUUCGGGUUUAAGCGAAAAACACCCCAACCUGUUAAGACCCGACCUGAACCCGACACGACCCGACACGAUUGCCACCCCUAGUUUUAGAUGACGUGAACAACAAAAUUGACUAUAGGAUUUUGAACCAACUUUUGUGUUAAGCUAGCAAGUGCUAGACAUGGUGGUAUUGACGACUGGAUGAAGAGUGAUAUUAAGCCUACCUUUGCUGCCUAAAGCAUUAACUCUUGCUUUCUUGAGUUUAAAUUUUUUUCCUUUUAAGAGCACAAGACAUUAUUUUAUUUAUUUAUUUUUUUUUUUUAUAAAGCAAAACAAGACACUUGACCACUGUGAUUCUAAAUUUCUGAUAUGAUCAUCCGACUAUAUUCUUUCCCAUAAUCAUCUUUUCUUUACUUAUGCGGUACUAUUUUGAUUCACAUUUUCCUUUGAGCAACACAAGACACUUGGGUAAACAAUUUUUUUUUAUCGUGAAUAGAUAUUAUAAAUAGGAACAUAAGGUCAUGUAUUUUAAUAAAAUAUUUGCAUUUAGCAUUUUGUGCAUACUUAGCUGGUGUAGCUCAGUUGGUUAGAGUGUGUGGCUUUUAAACCACAAAGUCGAAGGUUCAAGCCCUUCCUCCAGCAUCUGUAUUUACUGUAGCUUUGAUAUUUUGGCAUAAUAUUCAUAUUUAUCUCAAGUAGCUCAUUUUGUUCGAGUUUGAUGGUUUUUUACCUCGAUGUUGAGUUCAAGCCUUUUUUAUACAAUUUACAUUUUAAUUGCCAGUUUUAUUACAAUUUGGUGCUUUCAACGAUGUAAUGAAAUUAGUUUCAAUUCUUUUAUAUUGUCAUCAUUCUAGCCUAGAACUAAUAUGUUACACGGCACACAGCUGUUUUCAUCCUCGAAAUCGUUGCGAUCUUUAGAAACUAACACAAAUAGUUGUGAAACAUGGUCUUUAAUGAAGAUGAAGAUAGCUGGCGGACGAAAUUGAGCAGAAAAGGGGAUUUUUUUGUCCACUCCAUGGGUUUUUUAGAAGAAUUUUUUAUCAAAGUUUGUUUGGUAAUUUCUAUGACUUUUCUAAGGUCCCUAUUCUAACCCUCAUGUACAAUUGGCCAAAACAGUUUUUCUAAACAAAAUUUCAUAGUAUUCGGUAUCUCCUGAUAUAGCAAUUGCAACAUCUCCAAGCUUGAAACUCUCACCUGUUCAGAACUUUGUUUAUGGUGUUUCACGUGGUGGAUAGACUUGAGCUUUGGCGGAAGUGCUAUCAAUAGUUGAAAGUAACAACAUGCGUACUAUCAGCAUGUUCCUGCAAGAUUGUUGUCUAUUGUUCCUAGCACAACAACUGAUCUUAAAUAUGGCUGAAACAUUGGCCCAAACUUCUUCACGAGCUCACUAUGUUCCCUAGGUACUGAAGGUGAUUUUUUCUUUUUUAUCUAAAUUUUGGACAGAACAUGAAAAUAACAUGUUACUUAUUGUUUCCUUGGCUGUCUAAUUUCAGAUAUCAUUUGAAAUUCAAAGACCGGAGGAAUUGGCUAUUAAAGAAUCUAGGGAUUAAAGCAUUUAUAUGUAAAUAAAAAAUAAUCUAACAACCAACAAUUUCAACAAUAAGUUAUGACAGUAGUGAUAUCCAAAUUAUCAAAAAAUAAUUAUAGGUUCAAAAUGUCAAUAAGAAAAUCGAUGUAUCUCAUUGACUGGAAAGAAGCAAAUGAGAUUAUGGAGGUAUUCUUCGAAGAAAAAAAAAAGAUAUGAACAAACAAAGACUAAGAAAGAAACAGUCAUUGGAGAGAAGAUACAAAUAUAAGAUAAGUUAAGCGUCAAAAUAGAGAAUCUCAACAACAAUAAAAUAAUUUAUUUAUGUUGUUUUGAGAAAAUCCUACAUAUUAUUGUGUAAGGUAGUAUUUUCAAUAGAAAAUAUUACAUUGCCGACUGCAAUUUACGAAUAUGUUAUCAUAUUUUUGAUAAAAUUAUUGUCACACAAACUUCUAUUAAAUGGUUUCUUUGAAAAAAAUGGUUGUUCAUUUCGUCAUACCAUAUGUGAUUUUAACUUUUAUUUCUACAUCACAUGAUUAUCUUGAGUGGAAUAGAUAUUUGUGUUGUUCAUAACAUCAAACUGGUGGCUUUUUUGUCUCUGUCAAACUACGUUAAUCACUCGCUUAGGGAUGGACACAGAUAAUAAGAUAGAGCUAAUUUUUGAAGGUAUUACUAUUGAUAACGGAUGGUAUACAGUUGACCUUUAUGGCAUACUUACAAGUUAUUAUGGACAAAUAAUAUAUCCAAAUGCUUUUUUGAAAACAAUCUGAAAGGAGAAAAUAAUGGAAAUAAUAAGAUCAACAGUAGAAGAUAUACCACCAGAAGAAGAAGAUGAUACAUAUAUGGACGAAAUGGACAAAAUGGACCUGAUGAAAAAAAAGAUGAUAUACAAGAAAUUUCAAAUGGAUACAUUGAGCUGUUAGAGAUAUUUACUCUAAAAAAUUUAGUUAAUUAGAUUAAUUAUUAUAUUUUUAAGAAUAAUUACUUCAAAUAAAUAAUGGUUGACCAACAUCACCUGAGUAUCUGACAGUCAGAAACCUACUCAGUUUUGCACAGUUGUACUGAGCAUUUGUUGUGUUAUAGCAGUAGCUUAAUGUUACCACCUAUGAUGCAAAAUUUUUGUUAUUAGAGUAUUUGACUAUAGGGACCAAUUAUGUGAUUAUUUAUAAUUUAGAUCAACAAUUUUAUCCAUGCAUCAAUGUCCCUAAGACUAUAAAGCGUCAGAACAAUUAUAUUUUUUAAAUAAAAAAAAAUUAUAUUUUUUAGAGUUCUAUUUUCAAAUUAUUAAUGGUAGUCGUGGCAGCGCCACGGGUUUUACUAGUAUAUAUAUAGGCAUCAUAAUGUCAAUCACUUGCUCAGCUAAUAUAGGUGAGUGCCACCUUGCAUCCUUUUCUGACACAUCAACUUGAUUGCUAAUCAAGUAUCACUGAUGGUCUACCUAAUCACCUGGAUUAAUAGUGUGGGCUUGGAUUUGGACAUCCACUAUUUACAACAAGCCCAAAUAUAUGUGUAGAAGAACAUAGAUGACAGUAUUCACCAGAGCUUGGACGCUUGGUUGCAGAUCGAGAACAAAGAGGGAAAUCUGAAAUUUUUAUUUUUUAACGAGGGAAAAGUUUUGCGAAAUACAGGCCCUUUUAGAUAGAGCCCAACCCAACAAAGAAGCCUGGUGUGGUGUUUGAUGAUAAGUAGGGUUCUUUUCUUUUAACUAUAAAUUAUUGUUUCUCUCUUAUCGAUUGAUCUUCUACCAUCAAAUUAGGGUUUCUUCUUCAUCUCCAUUGUAACACAACAUCAUGAGGGCUAAGGUAACAACAACAUCUUUAACUCUUUCUAUCUCUUAAUCUAUUACAAUUGUUGUUCUCUUUCUAUCUCUUAAUCUAUUAAAAUUGUUGUUAGUAAUGUGUAGGUUUUGAUAUAUUGUGUGAUUUGUUUGUUUGUUAUUUGAUUUAUACAACAGUGGAAGAAGAAGCGAAUGAGGAGAUUGAAGAGGAAGCGUCGAAAGAUGAGACAGAGAUCCAAGUAGAUUGAUCGAAAUUAAAGUUUUAUGUUUUUGUUUUGUUUUAGUCGGUAGAUAUAUGUAUCGAUAUCGGAGUUUUCUUUUUAGAUCGGAAACGAUUUCACUUUCGGCGGAUGAAUCGGAAUCGGAAUAGCUACUAAAAUAGUAGUUUUAUGUUUAUCGUAAUUUGUAUCGGAUUUUAUGGGUUUUUUCCUAAUAUCGGAAGAAUCGGAUUAGUAGCUUAUGGUUAUGGUUAUUUGGAUGAAUGUUUGAUUUGAUUAAUUAGUUUGAUUUAGUUUUUAAUUUUUUAUUAAAUUGAAAAGAUAGCAUGGCCUGAGAUUAAGAUUAGUUUCAUAAUUCCUUUAUUCAUGAUUUGCCCCUUGUUUGCGGUUUUUAUUUAAGCAAUUUUUAUCACUAAAAUUAGUCAUGCUUUCACACUAAAAACCUUUACAUGAUAG
This 37879-nucleotide long non-coding RNA is filed under the name Aquilegia coerulea. RNAcentral's name for it is "long non-coding RNA (ACOE_LNC000294)". The stretch from base 34471 to 34545 matches the Rfam family "tRNA". Lineage: Eukaryota; Viridiplantae; Streptophyta; Magnoliopsida; Ranunculales; Ranunculaceae. The record is from RNAcentral.